GCCCUGUGGUUACUGGACACUGUUAUCUCAGUGCAGUGCUUCAGUUGUUAGAAAUGGGCCAAAAAUAAUACUCUGACUUAUGCAUGGAGCUGAUACUUUAGCAGCCUCCAUAGCCCGGUCACUGUUACAUUU
Molecule: small nucleolar RNA, 132 nt
Filed under: Pogona vitticeps (central bearded dragon)
Lineage: Eukaryota; Metazoa; Chordata; Lepidosauria; Squamata; Agamidae
Description: Small nucleolar RNA SNORA84 (ENSPVIG00000014150.1)
Rfam family: Small nucleolar RNA SNORA84
Source: Rfam by way of RNAcentral